GGUCCCAUAAAGGCAUGCUUGGAGGGGUUUGCUGUGGUAGAGCAUGACUGGAGCCCUGACCUUAAAGCUUAUCAGAUGUUCAAGAAUCUCUGGAGACGAUCCUUGAGGGCGCGGUCUCUCUCCCUCGUUGAAAUGUGAUGGCUCGUCACAUGCCUACACACACAGACAGACAGUAGGCCACUCGAUUGGUGAAGCUUUACUAUGGAUCAGAGCGGUCAAGCGAACAUGUCGACCGGCAGUUUUCGGUGAGAAAAUUGUGGAAAUAAGUCGCCUCUUACCGGAGAUCAGCGGAGCUUCUGUCGUGCUGCAGCUUCGUGACUUCCCUCAGAGACUGGCGUCAACACACCCGUGGACUCACCCCUC
Nerophis ophidion (straightnose pipefish) is the source of this 363-nucleotide long non-coding RNA. RefSeq lists it as uncharacterized. NCBI's taxonomy places the organism in Eukaryota, Metazoa, Chordata, Actinopteri, Syngnathiformes, Syngnathidae. The transcript has 3 exons. The record is from RefSeq and is a predicted model, not a curated record.